CAUGCCGUAAACGUUGUCAACUUGAUGUGGGGGGAUUUAGUCCUCUCCGUAUCGAAGCUAACGCGAUAAGUUGACCGCCUGGGGACUACGGCCGCAAGGCUAAAACUCAAAGGAAUUGACGGGGGCCCGCACAAGCGGUGGAGCAUGUGGCUUAAUUCGAGGCAACGCGAAGAACCUUACCUGGUCUUGAAAUAUAUCGGAUCGCCUGUGAAAGCAGGUUUCCCUUCGGGGCUGAUAUACAGGUGC
This 246-nucleotide ribosomal RNA is filed under the name uncultured Victivallis sp. RNAcentral's name for it is "partial 16S ribosomal RNA". It matches the Rfam family "Bacterial small subunit ribosomal RNA", at positions 796 to 1041 of the family's 1533-position model. The record is from RNAcentral. Lineage: Bacteria; Pseudomonadati; Lentisphaerota; Lentisphaeria; Victivallales; Victivallaceae.